Molecule: unclassified non-coding RNA, 253 nt
Filed under: uncultured Cyclobacteriaceae bacterium
Lineage: Bacteria; Pseudomonadati; Bacteroidota; Cytophagia; Cytophagales; Cyclobacteriaceae
Description: contains 16S-23S intergenic spacer region
Rfam family: Bacterial small subunit ribosomal RNA
Source: RNAcentral
UACGGAGGGUGCAAGCGUUGUCCGGAUUUAUUGGGUUUAAAGGGUGCGUAGGCGGUCAAUUAAGUCAGUGGUGAAAUCCUAUAGCUUAACUAUAGAACUGCCAUUGAUGCUGAUUGACUUGAGUACAGACGAGGUAGGCGGAAUUUAUGGUGUAGCGGUGAAAUGCAUAGAUACCAUAAAGAACACCGAUAGCGAAGGCAGCUUACUGGACUGUAACUGACGCUGAGGCACGAAAGCGUGGGGAGCGAACAGG